AUUGAACGCUGGCGGCAUGCUUUACACAUGCAAGUCGAACGGUAACAGGCCUUCUGGUGCUGACGAGUGGCGAACGGGUGAGUAAUGCAUCGGAACGUACCCAGAGGUGGGGGAUAACGCAGCUAAAGCUGUGCUAAUACCGCAUGUGAUCUGAGGAUGAAAGCGGGGGACCGAGCAGCAAUGUUUGGCCUCGCGCCUUUGGAGCGGCCGAUGUCGGAUUAGCUAGUUGGGGGGGUAAAGGCCUACCAAGGCGACGAUCCGUAGCUGGUCUGUGAGGACGACCAGCCACACUGGGACUGAGCCACGGCCCAGACUCCUACGGGAGGCAGCAGUGGGGAAUUUUGGACAAUGGGCGCAAGCCUGAUCCAGCAAUGCCGCGUGCGGGAAGAAGGCCUUCGGGUUGUAAACCGCUUUUGGCAGGAACGAAACGGUGUCCGCUAAUACCGGGCGCUAAUGACGGUACCUGCAGAAUAAGCACCGGCUAACUACGUG
RNAcentral lists this ribosomal RNA (492 nucleotides) under uncultured bacterium. RNAcentral's name for it is "partial 16S ribosomal RNA". It matches the Rfam family "Bacterial small subunit ribosomal RNA", at positions 30 to 507 of the family's 1533-position model. The record is from RNAcentral.